RNAcentral lists this ribosomal RNA (468 nucleotides) under uncultured bacterium. RNAcentral describes it as "partial 16S ribosomal RNA". It matches the Rfam family "Bacterial small subunit ribosomal RNA", at positions 28 to 507 of the family's 1533-position model. The record is from RNAcentral.
GACGAACGCUGGCGGCGUGCUUAACACAUGCCAGUCGAGCGGAAAGGCCCUGCUUUUGUGGGGUGCUCGAGUGGCGAACGGGUGAGUAACACGUGAGUAACCUGCCCUUGACUUUGGGAUAACUUCAGGAAACUGGGGCUAAUACCGGAUAGGAGCUCCUGCUGCAUGGUGGGGGUUGGAAAGUUUCGGCGGUUGGGGAUGGACUCGCGGCUUAUCAGCUUGUUGGUGGGGUAGUGGCUUACCAAGGCUUUGACGGGUAGCCGGCCUGAGAGGGUGACCGGCCACAUUGGGACUGAGAUACGGCCCAGACUCCUACGGGAGGCAGCAGUGGGGAAUAUUGCACAAUGGGCGGAAGCCUGAUGCAGCAACGCCGCGUGCGGGAUGACGGCCUUCGGGUUGUAAACCGCUUUCGCCUGUGACGAAGCGCGAGUGACGGUAAUGGGUAAAGAAGCACCGGCUAACUACGUG